This 402-nucleotide ribosomal RNA is filed under the name uncultured Ruegeria sp. Its description in RNAcentral is "bacterial SSU rRNA". It matches the Rfam family "Bacterial small subunit ribosomal RNA", at positions 353 to 772 of the family's 1533-position model. The record is from RNAcentral. Lineage: Bacteria; Pseudomonadati; Pseudomonadota; Alphaproteobacteria; Rhodobacterales; Roseobacteraceae.
AGUGGGGAAUCUUGGACAAUGGGGGCAACCCUGAUCCAGCCAUGCCGCGUGAGUGAUGAAGGCCUUAGGGUCGUAAAGCUCUUUCGCCUGUGAAGAUAAUGACGGUAGCAGGUAAAGAAACCCCGGCUAACUCCGUGCCAGCAGCCGCGGUAAUACGGAGGGGGUUAGCGUUGUUCGGAAUUACUGGGCGUAAAGCGCACGUAGGCGGAUCGGAAAGUUGGGGGUGAAAUCCCGGGGCUCAACCCCGGAACUGCCUUCAAAACUAUCGGUCUGGAGUUCGAGAGAGGUGAGUGGAAUUCCGAGUGUAGAGGUGAAAUUCGUAGAUAUUCGGAGGAACACCAGUGGCGAAGGCGGCUCACUGGCUCGAUACUGACGCUGAGGUGCGAAAGCGUGGGGAGCAAA